GUCGUAACAAGGUUUCCGUAGGUGAACCUGCGGAAGGAUCAUUACCGAGUGAGGGCCCUCUGGGUCCAACCUCCCACCCGUGUUUAUUUUACCUUGUUGCUUCGGCGGGCCCGCCUUAACUGGCCGCCGGGGGGCUCACGCCCCCGGGCCCGCGCCCGCCGAAGACACCCUCGAACUCUGUCUGAAGAUUGAAGUCUGAGUGAAAAUAUAAAUUAUUUAAAACUUUCAACAACGGAUCUCUUGGUUCCGGCAUCGAUGAAGAACGCAGCGAAAUGCGAUACGUAAUGUGAAUUGCAAAUUCAGUGAAUCAUCGAGUCUUUGAACGCACAUUGCGCCCCCUGGUAUUCCGGGGGGCAUGCCUGUCCGAGCGUCAUUGCUGCCCUCAAGCCCGGCUUGUGUGUUGGGCCCCGUCCUCCGAUCUCCGGGGGACGGGCCCGAAAGGCAGCGGCGGCACCGCGUCCGGUCCUCGAGCGUAUGGGGCUUUGUCACCCGCUCUGUAGGCCCGGCCGGCGCUUGCCGAUCAACCCAAAUUUUUAUCCAGGUUGACCUCGGAUCAGGUAGGGAUACCCGCUGAACUUAAGCAUAUCAAUAUCAAUAAGC
Molecule: ribosomal RNA, 600 nt
Filed under: Penicillium camemberti
Lineage: Eukaryota; Fungi; Ascomycota; Eurotiomycetes; Eurotiales; Aspergillaceae
Description: eukaryotic LSU rRNA
Rfam family: 5.8S ribosomal RNA (bases 221-373)
Source: RNAcentral